Molecule: small RNA, 24 nt
Filed under: Arabidopsis thaliana (thale cress)
Lineage: Eukaryota; Viridiplantae; Streptophyta; Magnoliopsida; Brassicales; Brassicaceae
Description: ATSL022540
Source: RNAcentral
AACGGAAACGGUCAAGACAUAAUU